Molecule: ribosomal RNA, 480 nt
Filed under: uncultured bacterium
Lineage: Bacteria
Description: partial 16S ribosomal RNA
Rfam family: Bacterial small subunit ribosomal RNA
Source: RNAcentral
GACGAACGCUGGCGGCGUGCUUAACACAUGCAAGUCGAACGAUGAAGCCAAGAAUCGAAGCUUCGGCAGAAAUUCAUUUCGGAUUAUUGGCAGACGGGUGCGUACCGCGUGCUCAACCUACCUCUUACAAAGGUAUAGCCUCGGGAAACCGGGAUUUAUACCAUAUAACAUUGCGACGAAGCAUUUCGAUGCAAUCAAAGCUACGCCGGUAAUAGAUGGUCUCGCGUCCGAUUAACCGGAUGGUGAGGUAACGGCACACCAUAGUGACGAUGGGUAACCGGGCUGAGAACGUGCACAGUUACAAUGGAAAUGAGGCACGGUCUAGAAUGCGACGGGAGGGAGCAGAGGGGAAUAUUGCACAAUGGAGGGAAAUCUGAUGAAGCGACGCGGCGUGAGUGAUGAAGGAAUUCGUUAAGUAAAACUGUGUUCUAUGGGAAGAGAAGGACGGUACCAGAGGAGAAAGCUCCGGCUAAAUACGUG